CGGGACUGGCGGGGCUCGAACCCGCAGCU
Molecule: transfer RNA, 29 nt
Filed under: Streptocarpus cyaneus
Lineage: Eukaryota; Viridiplantae; Streptophyta; Magnoliopsida; Lamiales; Gesneriaceae
Also listed under: 18 other names
Description: partial tRNA-Asp
Source: RNAcentral